GAAAUAUUCCGUAUGUCCGGAAAUACUUGUUGGGGAAAUGGAUGAAAAUGGAUGUAUCUAGAAGUAACAUACGCCUAGAUACAUCCAUAUCUCUGAUGAGUAUUUCUGGAAAGAGGGAGUAAGUA
Triticum aestivum (bread wheat) is the source of this 125-nucleotide non-coding RNA. NCBI's taxonomy places the organism in Eukaryota, Viridiplantae, Streptophyta, Magnoliopsida, Poales, Poaceae. The record is from Rfam.